UUGAUCCUGGCUCAGAACGAACGCUGGCGGCGUGGAUAAGACAUGCAAGUCGCACGGAGAAAAGAUAGUUUACCAGCUUUUCUGAGUGGCGCACGGGUGAGUAACACGUGAGCAACCUGCCUCUUAGUGGGGGAUAGCCCUGGGAAACCGGGAUUAAUACCGCAUAUCAUCGCAAGAUGAAAGCAGCAAUGCGCUAAGAGAGGGGCUCGCGGCCUAUUAGUUAGUUGGUGGGGUAACGGCUCACCAAGGCGAUGACGGGUAGCCGGUCUGAGAGGAUGUCCGGCCACACUGGAACUGAGACACGGUCCAGACACCUACGGGUGGCAGCAGUCGAGAAUCAUUCACAAUGGGGGAAACCCUGAUGGUGCGACGCCGCGUGGGGGAAGAAGGUCUUCGGAUUGUAAACCCCUGUCAUGUGGGAGCAAGCUAGCAAUAGUUGAUAGUACCACAAGAGGAAGAGACGGCUAACUCUGUGCCAGCAGCCGCGGUAAUACAGAGGUCUCAAGCGUUGUUCGGAAUCACUGGGCGUAAAGGGUACGUAGGCUGUACCAUAAGUCGGGCGUGAAAGGCA
RNAcentral lists this ribosomal RNA (571 nucleotides) under uncultured bacterium. Its description in RNAcentral is "bacterial SSU rRNA". It matches the Rfam family "Bacterial small subunit ribosomal RNA", at positions 13 to 603 of the family's 1533-position model. The record is from RNAcentral.